UCCUGAUGUUUAGUUGAAAUCUCCCUCCUUGUAACUUGAAUCCAUUGGUUUGGAUUUGAGCAGAAGAAAACAAGCUUGCUCCAUCUUCCAUGUGACAGUCCUUGAGAUAUUUGAAGAUGGCUAUUGCAUCUCCCCUCAGUCUCCUCUUUUCCAAGCUAAACAUACCCAGCUCCUUCAAUC
Podarcis lilfordi (Lilford's wall lizard) is the source of this 180-nucleotide non-coding RNA. The record is from the annotation of a GenBank genome assembly. Lineage: Eukaryota; Metazoa; Chordata; Lepidosauria; Squamata; Lacertidae.